UACAUGCAAGUCGUGGGGCAGCAUGGGGUAGCAAUACUCUGAUGGCGACCGGCAAACGGGUGCGGAACACGUACGCAACCUUCCCAAAACUGGUGAAUAGCCCUCCGAAAGGAGGAUUAAUACACCGUAACAUAACGAAGUGGCAUCGCUUUGUUAUUAUAGCUCCGGCGGUUUUGGAUGGGCGUGCGCCUGAUUAGGUAGUUGGCGGGGUAACGGCCCACCAAGCCUACGAUCAGUAACUGGUGUGAGAGCACGACCAGUCACACGGGCACUGAGACACGGGCCCGACUCCUACGGGAGGCAGCAGUAAGGAAUAUUGGUCAAUGGACGCAAGUCUGAACCAGCCAUGCCGCGUGAAGGAUGAAGGUCCUCUGGAUUGUAAACUUCUUUUAUCUGGGACUGAAAAAGGGCUUUCUAGCUCACUUGACGGUACCAGAGGAAUAAGCACCGGCUAACUCCGUGCCAGCAGCCGCGGUAAUACGGAGGGUGCGAGCGUUAUCCGGAUUUACUGGGUUUAAAGGGUGCGUAGGUGGGCAGGUAAGUCAGUGGUGAAAUCUUCGAGCUUAACUCGGAAACUGCCAUUGAUACUAUCUGUCUUGAAUGCCCUGGAGGUAAGCGGAAUAUGUCAUGUAGCGGUGAAAUGCUUAGAUAUGACAUAGAACACCAAUUGCGAAGGCAGCUUACUACGGGGUGAUUGACACUGAGGCACGAAAGCGUGGGGAUCAAACAGGAUUAGAUACCCUGGUAGUCCACGCCCUAAACGAUGGAUACUCGACAUACGCGAUACACUGUGUGUGUCUGAGCGAAAGCAUUAAGUAUCCCACCUGGGAGUACGACGCAAGUGAAACUCAAGGAUUGACGGGGUCCGCACAGCGUGGAGCAUGUGUUAAUUCGAUGAUACGCGAGGACCUUACCU
RNAcentral lists this ribosomal RNA (916 nucleotides) under uncultured Bacteroidota bacterium. RNAcentral describes it as "bacterial SSU rRNA". It matches the Rfam family "Bacterial small subunit ribosomal RNA", at positions 52 to 976 of the family's 1533-position model. The record is from RNAcentral. Lineage: Bacteria; Pseudomonadati; Bacteroidota.